UAAGCAUAUCAAUAAGCGGAGGAAAAGAAACCAACAGGGAUUGCCUCAGUAACGGCGAGUGAAGCGGCAAAAGCUCAGAUUUGAAAUCUCUUUUUUUGAAAAAGCGAAUUGUAAUCUGUAGAAGGUUGAAUGGCUGAAUAUUCUGAUGUAAAUUCCCUGGAAUGGGAUAUCAUAGAGGGUGAGAAUCCCGUGAUCUUCAGAGACUAAGCCAAUUAAUUCACCUUUCGACGAGUCGAGUUGUUUGGGAAUGCAGCUCUAAAUGGGUGGUAAAUUUCAUCUAAAGCUAAAUACCUGCCAGAGACCGAUAGCGAACAAGUAGAGUGAUCGAAAGAUGAAAAGCACUUUGAAAAGAGAGUUAAAAAGUACGUGAAAUUGCUGAAAGGGAAGCGCUUGAGAUUAGACUUGAUAUUCAGAUUCGGCCAGUCUUUGGACUCGGUUUAUUUUCUAUUUAUCAGGCCAGCAUCAGUUUGGUGGGGUCUAUAAAGGCAGUCGGAAUGUAGUUACCACCUCGGUGGUCAUGUUAUAGCCUUCUGUGUCAUAUAUCCACACCAGACUGAGGUCUGCUCUUCGGAAAGGAUGCUGGCAUAAUGAUCCUAAGCGACCCGUCUUGAA
Molecule: ribosomal RNA, 612 nt
Filed under: Tricharia lancicarpa
Lineage: Eukaryota; Fungi; Ascomycota; Lecanoromycetes; Ostropales; Graphidaceae
Description: partial large subunit ribosomal RNA
Rfam family: Eukaryotic large subunit ribosomal RNA
Source: RNAcentral